This 280-nucleotide small RNA is filed under the name Wenyingzhuangia heitensis. RNAcentral's name for it is "5' ureB small RNA". It matches the Rfam family "5' ureB small RNA". The record is from RNAcentral. Lineage: Bacteria; Pseudomonadati; Bacteroidota; Flavobacteriia; Flavobacteriales; Flavobacteriaceae.
AUUUGUUGUGGACAGAUAUAAUGAAUAUGUGCAUCUAUUCCACCAGCAGUUACUAUUAACCCUUCUGCAGCAAUUACCUCAGUACUAGGCCCAACAAUCAUAUCCGGAUGUACUUGGGGCAUAAUAUGCGGAUUCCCACCUUUACCAAUAGCUACAAUAUUUCCGUCUUUAAUUCCUAUAUCUGCUUUUAUAAUUCCGGAAUGAUCUAUAAUUAAUGCAUUGGUUACAAUGGUAUCUAAACAAUCUUUACGAGUUACGUUAGAGGCUUGCCCCAUUCCGU